AAUGGAGAGUAUGCGGGGCACAGAUGAUAGAGAGGUAGAGCUUUACCCUUUUUUGCAGCAGUAAUUCUCGCUUAACUUUCCAUUCUUCUUCAGCUAUUACCUCCAAACAAAGUGAAGUUAAGUUAAGUUUCUAUCACGUCUUUAAAGUGCUGUAACAAUUUAAUUCAGGAAGAGUAACUCAGAACAGAUACCUGGUGACUUGGCUGGUUUUGUGGCUGCGCUCUGGACUGUAAUCCCUCUUGCAAAGUUCAGUUGUGAUUUUUGAGAAGUGGGUUUGUAUGAUCUC
Molecule: long non-coding RNA, 286 nt
Filed under: Medicago truncatula (barrel medic)
Lineage: Eukaryota; Viridiplantae; Streptophyta; Magnoliopsida; Fabales; Fabaceae
Description: lncRNA gene18177
Source: RNAcentral